UACGGAGGGGGCUAGCGUUGUUCGGAAUUACUGGGCGUAAAGCGCACGUAGGCGGCUUUGUAAGUUAGAGGUGAAAGCCCGGGGCUCAACUCCGGAACUGCCUUUAAGACUGCAUCGCUAGAAUUGUGGAGAGGUAAGUGGAAUUCCGAGUGUAGAGGUGAAAUUCGUAGAUAUUCGGAAGAACACCAGUGGCGAAGGCGACUUACUGGACACAUAUUGACGCUGAGACUCGAAAGCAUGGGGAGCAAACAGG
RNAcentral lists this ribosomal RNA (253 nucleotides) under uncultured bacterium. RNAcentral describes it as "partial 16S ribosomal RNA". It matches the Rfam family "Bacterial small subunit ribosomal RNA", at positions 524 to 776 of the family's 1533-position model. The record is from RNAcentral.